UACGAAGGGGGCUAGCGUUGCUCGGAAUCACUGGGCGUAAAGGGCGCGUAGGCGGAUCUUUAAGUCGGGGGUGAAAGCCCAGGGCUCAACCCUGGAAUUGCCUUCGAUACUGAAGAUCUCGAGACCGGAAGAGGUAAGUGGAACUGCGAGUGUAGAGGUGAAAUUCGUAGAUAUUCGGAGGAACACCAGUGGCGAAGGCGGCUCACUGGGCCAGUACUGACGCUGAGGUGCGAAAGCGUGGGGAGCAAACAGG
RNAcentral lists this ribosomal RNA (253 nucleotides) under uncultured bacterium. Its description in RNAcentral is "partial 16S ribosomal RNA". It matches the Rfam family "Bacterial small subunit ribosomal RNA", at positions 524 to 776 of the family's 1533-position model. The record is from RNAcentral.